This 262-nucleotide ribosomal RNA is filed under the name uncultured bacterium. Its description in RNAcentral is "partial 16S ribosomal RNA". It matches the Rfam family "Bacterial small subunit ribosomal RNA", at positions 523 to 777 of the family's 1533-position model. The record is from RNAcentral.
UAGCAGAGGGUGCGAGCGGUUUGUCCGGAAUCACUGGGCGUAAAGGGCGCGUAGGUGGUGGCUUAAGCGUGCGGUGAAAGCUCGGGGCUCAACCCGAGUCGGCCGUGCGAACUGGGCUCACUGGAGCAUAGUAGAGGCAGGUGGAAUUCCGGGUGUAGCGGUGGAAUGCGUAGAGAUCCGGAAGAACGACCGGUGGCGAAGGCGGCCUGCUGGGGCUAUGGGCUGACACUGAGGCGCGGACAGCGUGGGGAGCCAAACAGGG